Molecule: ribosomal RNA, 262 nt
Filed under: uncultured archaeon
Lineage: Archaea
Description: partial 16S ribosomal RNA
Rfam family: Archaeal small subunit ribosomal RNA
Source: RNAcentral
UAGCCGUAAACGAUACUCGCUAGGUGUCGGCCACGGUGCGACCGUUGUCGUUGCCGUAGGGAAGCCGUGAAGCGAGCCACCUGGGAAGUACGGCCGCAAGGCUGAAACUUAAAGGAAUUGGCGGGGGAGCACCACAACGGGUGGAGCUUGCGGUUUAAUUUGGAUUCAACGCCGGAAAUCUUACCGGGACCGACAGCAACAUGAAGGCCAGGCUGAAGACUUUGCCGGAUUAGCUGAGAGGAGGUGCAUGGCGUAGUCGUGU